This 74-nucleotide transfer RNA is filed under the name Chloroflexota bacterium. RNAcentral describes it as "Chloroflexi bacterium (groundwater metagenome) tRNA-Gln". It matches the Rfam family "tRNA". Rfam says of the family: Transfer RNA (tRNA) molecules are approximately 80 nucleotides in length. Their secondary structure includes four short double-helical elements and three loops (D, anti-codon, and T loops). Lineage: Bacteria; Bacillati; Chloroflexota. The record is from RNAcentral.
UGGGGAUUCGUCUAACGGUAGGACGACAGACUCUGGAUCUGUUAGUCCUGGUUCGAAUCCAGGAUCCCCAGCCA